UCUGAAAAUCCGUCCGUAAACAACAUUCAUUAUAACCAUAUCUUGUACAUCAUAUCUUGAAUCAAAAGCAAAACCAUGAUACCUCUUAAAAUUUUGAACAUAAUAUCUGGUACAUCAUAUGCAAAUUGAAGAUAAAACUAAAUAGAAGCACAACCAAAUAAAGCGAAAAUAAUCGGUAGUCUCAGAAAAUUAUAUAACAAGUACAAAAAACUUGAAAGAAAGUCUGAGUUCUAAAAUAAGAUAUCUCUAGAAAAUGAAACUACUUUGCUUUAUGUUUGCACUUCAACGAAUUGUUCAAGAUCAAUUUCCUUUCUUUAUUGUAAGGAUGCAUUAUCAAUUGCAGUGCAGUUUGUAGUCUUGAGCCUUCAUCCACCUGUUAGCACAAUAAUGGAAAAGUCAAUAGUGUCCAUUUCAU
RNAcentral lists this long non-coding RNA (415 nucleotides) under Trifolium pratense (red clover). RNAcentral's name for it is "long non-coding RNA (TPRA_LNC013146)". Lineage: Eukaryota; Viridiplantae; Streptophyta; Magnoliopsida; Fabales; Fabaceae. The record is from RNAcentral.